RNAcentral lists this transfer RNA (74 nucleotides) under Bradyrhizobium sp. Leo78. RNAcentral's name for it is "tRNA-Asn". It matches the Rfam family "tRNA". From Rfam's summary of the family: Transfer RNA (tRNA) molecules are approximately 80 nucleotides in length. Their secondary structure includes four short double-helical elements and three loops (D, anti-codon, and T loops). The record is from RNAcentral. RNAcentral also lists the same sequence under 7 other names. Lineage: Bacteria; Pseudomonadati; Pseudomonadota; Alphaproteobacteria; Hyphomicrobiales; Nitrobacteraceae.
UGGAGAGUGGCGCAGCGGUAGCGCAGGGCACCGUUAAUGCCGUGGUCGCAGGUUCGAAUCCUCCUCUUCAGCCA